GACGAACGCUGGCGGCGUGCUUAACACAUGCAAGUCGAACGGAAAGGCCCCUUUGGGGGUACUCGAGUGGCGAACGGGUGAGUAACACGUGAGUAUCCUGCCCUUGACUUCGGGAUAACUUCAGGAAACUGGGGCUAAUACCGGAUAGGAAUCCUUGCUGCAUGGUGGGGGUUGGAAAGCUUCGGCGGUUUUGGAUGGACUCGCGGCUUAUCAGCUUGUUGGUGGGGUAGUGGCUUACCAAGGCUUUGACGGGUAGCCGGCCUGAGAGGGCGACCGGCCACAUUGGGACUGAGAUACGGCCCAGACUCCUACGGGAGGCAGCAGUGGGGAAUAUUGCACAAUGGGCGGAAGCCUGAUGCAGCAACGCCGCGUGCGGGAUGACGGCCUUCGGGUUGUAAACCGCUUUCAGCAGGGGCGAAGCUUGUGGUGACGGUACCUGCAGAAGAAGCACCGGCUAACUACGUG
This 465-nucleotide ribosomal RNA is filed under the name uncultured bacterium. RNAcentral's name for it is "partial 16S ribosomal RNA". It matches the Rfam family "Bacterial small subunit ribosomal RNA", at positions 28 to 507 of the family's 1533-position model. The record is from RNAcentral.